GUAACCUUUCUGGGUUCACGGCAGUGUCCCCUGGCCUCCCACUAAUCGCCCUGUGGCCAGUACCUCCCACCCACCAAAGUCCUAGUUCCUGUGGGUUUCCAUUCCAACGUGAGAAACAGCAGAAGCUGGAGAGUCUAACAUCCAACACUGGGGCAGAGGGAGGCUCCUGGCGUCAGAGCUGGGGAGAGGAGUUUGGAGGUGUCAUUGAAGUUCUCCAUACGGCAACCAGGGAAAGAAAUUUUUUCUAACUUCAAGUCUUUCUCCACCUGAGCCCCCUCACAUCCCUUCCUCCAUCCCCCACUUAGACCUCGCACCUCCUCAGGGUGGGUGUGAGUUCCUGGAGCCUUCUCAGCCUGCAGGUACAACGGAUUGAGACAAGCUGUGUCUUCUGCUCCUCAGCACGGGAUCGAACUUGGGACCUUGUGCUUGCAAGGCAGGCGCCAGAACCACUGAGCUAAAUCCCCAGCCCAAAGAGUAGGUACUUUUUAAGAUUUCCAUAGACACUAAAUAUUGCUUCCCAAAGAACAUGUACCCAUCUCUAACGCAGCCACUAGAAUAUGAAGAUUGUGCCGGGCGUGGUGGCACACCUGUAAUCCUACCACUCAGGAGGCUGAGGCAGGAGGAUCACCAGGAGAUCAAGGCCAGCCUGGACUACAUAGGGAAAUCCUGUCACAGCCAAACAGACAAAAAUAUGAAGAUUGUUCCUCUGUCAUGAAUACCACCAAUCAACAAGCUCUGGGGAUUGAAUCGGGAUUUACACCCACUAGGCCAGCACUCUGCCACAAAGACUCAUCCCCAGCCCUUCCCUCCUGCUUGUUUCCUUGAUUCAUUGACCUUCAUUGAUCUUUGGAGGCCUUUAGACUUUUUUUUUGUUACUGGGCAUCAAACUCAGGACCUUGUGCUUGCCAGUCAGGGGGUGGAACCACUGAGCUAAAUCGCUG
Molecule: long non-coding RNA, 941 nt
Filed under: Heterocephalus glaber (naked mole-rat)
Lineage: Eukaryota; Metazoa; Chordata; Mammalia; Rodentia; Bathyergidae
Description: lncRNA (ENSHGLG00000039784.1)
Source: RNAcentral